AAAAGAACUUUGAAGAGAGAGUUAAGAGGACGUGAAACCGUGCAGAAGUAACUUGGUGGACGGGCAAUGUCGCCUGUAGAAUUCAGCUAAUGGUGUGGGCUUUUUGUGAUCUGCGCUGCGCUUAACUGCGUAUCAGGUGGCAUUACAGUCUGCAUCGUUGGUGCACUUUCUACGGGUGAGCGCAAAGAUCCCUUAGUGCGUCGACAAAAGUGCCAAUGGAGUAGCCUCAGGUUAAUUCUUGGGAGCUUACAUUGGAUUACCGGCCGAUUGCGCUGAGGGAGAUCACACUCUAGUUGCAUGUCUCUCGACGUGUGUCUUCGUGGGGAAUCGAACUGUUGGUGUUUCCAUCGCAAGGUGGAACGCUACGACCCUUUCUUGCGAACGACGCUAGUUUGAGAUUCGCUGGAUAUGAUCUUUUGCGUCCGAGUCCCUCACCCACCUAUAUCGUCUUGAAACACGAGCCGAGAAGUCUAACAGAUGCGCAAGUCAAUGGGCUUUCAACAAACCCCAAAGGCGAAAUGAACGUAAAGCCGUGGCCUUGUGCUCGGUGAGCUGAGAUCCGUAGCUUGCUGCGGCGCAUCAGCGUCCCGUCUUAAGAACCCUUCGGGGCUUCUGAGGCGGAGAUAGAGCGUAUCUGUUAGGACCCGAAAGAUGGUGAACUAUGCCUGUGUAGACUGAAGCCAGAAGAAAUUCUGGUGGAAGGUCGUAGCGUUUUUGACGUGCAAAUCAAUCGUCAAACAUGGGCAUAGGGGCGAAAGACUAAUCGAACCAUC
This 773-nucleotide ribosomal RNA is filed under the name Enoplida sp. TJP-2010. RNAcentral's name for it is "eukaryotic LSU rRNA". It matches the Rfam family "Eukaryotic large subunit ribosomal RNA", at positions 367 to 944 of the family's 3401-position model. Lineage: Eukaryota; Metazoa; Nematoda; Enoplea; Enoplida. The record is from RNAcentral.